This is a long non-coding RNA of Astatotilapia calliptera (eastern happy), 1120 nucleotides long. NCBI's taxonomy places the organism in Eukaryota, Metazoa, Chordata, Actinopteri, Cichliformes, Cichlidae. The record is from Ensembl.
CUGAGCUAUUCUGCUUACGUUCUGUGACCCGGCUUACUUGGAAGUAUGGGCCUUAGUUUUGCGCCAAGCUACGUGAACUGAAGUGCUGCUGUUUUGCCUUGCUGUGCUUUUACCGUCUGUUCCCGUUGUGAGAAUUCUUUCCCUGCUGCUGUCAGCUUUUACAGUGGACGUCGGCGUGGACAACGGCCAUAUGCAUGCCGGUUAUCGGAGUCAGCUGGCGUGCAUAUUGAUUGACUGUUAACUUAUCGUCGUGUGGACGGCAAGUUGGAGCAGUACGGCGAUUCCGUUUGCUCCAGAUUUUAGAGUUUUAUCCAGAUUGUAUGUUGUUUUAUUGCUUUUUGAUUUGUAGUUUGGAUUCUCUGUUACACCACUGGUGGGAGGCCCUUUUUCUAGCUGUGGAUCACCAGUGUGGUCCUGCAGUUGGGUUAUCCCCCGGUGCUACACAUUAGUUUGUUGUAAUAUAUUAAAAUUUUCUUUGUUUUUUUUUAUUCAGAUGCGGAGUGCCGACGUGGAGGAGACUAGGGUGCCUUGGUGGUGGGAUCCCUUGAGUGUACACACCUGCCUUGUUUAGUUUAUUAGUGUGAGUGUGUGUGAUAGUGUGUUGCACUUGUGUUUUGGGUGUGUUUUCUUUCUUUAGUUUGUGUGUGGCAUCCCUGCCCCUCCACUGGUAAGCCUCAGCUCUGAAUACCUUUUUAAGCAUAUUUGUACUUGAAUAUUUAUGAUUGUGCUUUUAUAUGGUGUUUUAAAUAAUUAUUAAUAAAUUGUGAAUUUGUUGAUCAUUGAACCUCGUCUCUGGACUGAGUAUAGCGAACCUAAGUGCCUUUCUGGUGAUUUAGUGUUACUUUCAGUAUUCUCUGGGUGAAAUUCCCAGGGUGGCGUUGUCUUUUUAAAACUGCAAAGAGUAUUUACUUUAUACCCCAUCCUCGUCUCGCCACACGGGCUUGGAACUGACACUAGUUUAGGUCUCCUGAGGCUGGGUUUGUGUCUCCUCCUGGUCUCAAACUAAGGAUCUUUAGUGUACAAGGUGACUGUGUUAACCAACAUACCAUAGAUGUCAAAGUAAGGCUGAGUGACCUUAAAUUAUUUUAACACAUGUACAUCCCAGACUUUUAGAUGCCUC